UUGUCGAAAGACGGGCUAAUGUUCCAUAGUCUCAAGGCAGAGCCUUGGAGACAACUAAUAACAACUAACCACUAACAACUAACAUUAUAGUUAGAAGUUAGCAGUUUUUAGUUAGAAGUUGUACUCAAAGCUCUGCUUUGAGUAAAGGGCUUAACUGCCCACUGAGGGAGGGGCCUGCGUCCUAUCAGCUAGUUGGUGAGGUAAAGGCUCACCAAGGCAAUGACGGGUAGCUGGACUGAGAGGUCGAUCAGCCACAGGGGCACUGAGAUACGGGCUCCACACCUACGGGUGGCAGCAACCGGGAAUAUUGCGCAAUGGACGAAAGUCUGACGCAGCGACGCCGCGUGGGGGAUGAAGGCCUUCGGGUUGUAAACUCCUUUUGUCCCGCUUUUCACGGCGGGAAGAAUAAGCCUCUACUAACUACGUGCCAGAAGUCUCGGUAAUACGUAGGAGGCAAGCGUUAUCCGGAUUUAUUGGGCGUAAAGAGUGCGUAGGUGGUCUAUAAAGUCUUUGUUCAAAUCCCACGGCUUAACCGUAGAAUUGGCAAAGAUACUAAUAGACUCGAGGAUCGUUCGGGGUACUGGAACAGUUGGUGUAGCGGUGAAAUGCGUUGAUAUCAACUGGAACACCGAUGGCGAAGGCAAGUACCUGGAAUUUUCCUGACACUGAGGCACGAAAGCUAGGGUAGCGAAACAGAUUAGAGACCUGUGUAGUCCUAGCCGUAAACAAUGGGCGCUAGAUACCACUCGCAAAGUUGAUAACAACUUUGCGAGAACUAAAUACUGAAAACUUAAAAUUGAAUACAUAAUUUUUUUGGUUUUAAGUCUUAAGUUUUUAGUUCGCAAAAUCAUUGUCGAUUUUGCGAGUGGUGUCGUAAGCUAACGCGUUAAGCGCCCCGCCUGGGGAGUACGGCCGCAAGGCUAAAACUCAAAGGAAUUGACGGGGACCCGCACAACCAGUGGAGCGUGUGGUUCAAUUCGAGACGAAGCGAAAGACCUCACCAGGGUUUGACAUGUAACCGUACAUUUCCCUAGAAAUCGGGAGAAAUCCGCAAGGAUGGUUACACAGGUGCUGCAUGGCUGUCGUCAGCUCGUGCCGUGAGGUGUUCCAUUAAGUUGGGAAACGAGUGCAACCCUUGCCCAAUGUUAAAUAUUCAUUGGGGACUGCUUCUGCAUUGCAGAGGAGGAAGGAGAGGCGGACGUCAAGUCAGCAUGGCUCUUAUACCCUGGGCCACACACACCCUACAAUGGCGAAAAACAAUGGGUCGCAAGCCGGCAACGGCAAGCCAAUCCCUCAAAUUUCGCCUCAGUUCAGAUUGGGGUCUGAAACCCGACCCCAUGAAGCCGGAAUUGGUAGUAAUCGCGGAUCAGCAGGCCGCGGUGAUACGUUCUCGGGUCUUGUACACACCGCCCGUNCAG
This 1418-nucleotide ribosomal RNA is filed under the name uncultured bacterium. Its description in RNAcentral is "bacterial SSU rRNA". It matches the Rfam family "Bacterial small subunit ribosomal RNA", at positions 148 to 1401 of the family's 1533-position model. The record is from RNAcentral.